GAUGUGAGUGAUGAUGUAAGGAGGACUGCUGUUCUUGCUCUUGGAUUUGUACUGUAUUCUGAGCCAGAGCAGACUCCUCGAAUAGUCUCCUUGCUUUCAGAGUCCUACAACCCACAUGUGCGAUAUGGUGCAGCUCUUGCAGUAGGCAUUUCCUGUGCAGGCACUGGAUUGAGCGAGGCUAUAUCAUUGCUAGAACCUUUGACAUCUGAUGUUGUCGAUUUUGUUCGUCAAGGUGCUCUUAUUGCAAUGGCUAUGGUCAUGGUGCAGAUGAAUGAGGCCGGUGAUUCUCGUGUUGGAACAUUCAGGCGACAAUUGGAAAAGAUAAUUCUUGAUAAGCA
This 338-nucleotide unclassified non-coding RNA is filed under the name Hevea brasiliensis (rubber tree). The record is from RNAcentral. Lineage: Eukaryota; Viridiplantae; Streptophyta; Magnoliopsida; Malpighiales; Euphorbiaceae.